CAAAACUGAAGCAAAACUAAAUUAUGCAACAGAUUCACUCACAGUUUCAUUUUGGUUCACUACAUUAUAUUUGGAUUUGAAACACAUUGAUAGUGUCCUUCGAUCUAAAAUGAACAUUAUAAGACGUGCCACGCAUAAACCUGUAUGUGAAGUUUGUUGAAUCAAAGAAUACUACCAAACAACGCAUGCACAAUUUGAAACACUUGGGAGUUGCACAGAAAAUGCCUUGCCAAACCAAGAAAACAUUUUUGCACUAUCUUGCACUAAAAACAGGUUCUGCAUCUAGGCUUGGUUGUGUUCUUCGAGUGUACUUGAGCAACAAUGCUUCUGAAGAAAGACCAGGUACCUUUAGAUCCCUAAAGAAUAAAUUGCAUCCAGGAAAAUGAAAUCCCUUCUAAUAUCAGAUAAAGGAAAAAUAAAAAAAGGAAAAGAAUAAAAUGAAACAUAAGUGAACCUGAUGUAUGGAUGUAAAUCCUUCCACUCCCAUUUUGAUCGCUCUCUAAAGAGAAUGGAAAAACGCUCAGCAGGAGUUGAGGGCAGUGAAGAAACACUAAAGGCACGAACCCAUGUCUCAACACCAAGCUUCUCCGUUAAGACUUCCCCUUCCAACAUAUCAAAACUUGCCUGCAUGCCAUCUGGAAUCUGUUUCAACCAUUCCCCCAUAAAAUUUUCCAUCUUCCUUUUCCCUGCUUUCAAGAUUUCUCUUGCAAAAUGCACACAUACUCUCCUCCCAUCUAACUUCCAAAUAUAAUUUGCACACACAUCCUCAUCCAUCUUACUGCCAUAAACAUCCAAACAAUGGAGGGCAAGCUUGUGUGGAAAUCCAUCUGAUGCUAGCACCCUUACAACCUCAGCUUCAUUAAGUGCAUCUAAUGACCAGUCAUUCAAUACAGAAUUGUGCAAAAGCAUCCUUAGAAUCAUGUCCAUGUAUUUUUCCUCCACAAUUCUCCAAUACCCUUCAAUCUCUACAGCUGAAAGGGCCAGUAAUCCAGCCCUCAAUUCAUCAUUACUAGCCUGAACCCUUUCAACAAGAUCAUCCCACCUAUACAAUCCAGUUUUAUUUUUUCCCUCAUACAAAUCCUCCACUUCCAGGACUUCCUCAGACCCAUAAGGAUUCUCUGAUAGAAGUAACUUAAGUUUGUCAAGCCUAGGAGAAAUUUCAAUAAGCUCCAUGUUACCAGGUGCAACCUUAAUGACGGGUGCAAGUCGUUGCUGGCCUACCUGGCCAUAAACUUUGUCAUCACUAACUUGUGAAUUUUCACACAAUGCAGAUUGAUCUGAUGGAGGUAUGAGGAAUGAAGAAUUAGAAGUUCCAACAAACUUUAUGGCAUAAGUUUUUGACUUAGUGCAAAGAACUGCAUCUUCAUCUGGCUGACCUCUUAAAGUUACUCUUUGUUGGAGUACAUCUGGGAGGAGUUUUUCAUCAAGCUCAAGAAGCAUCAGAUCAUCAUAAGAACCAAAGUGAGGGUGAUAGGCAAUAGCAACUGAAGAGUUGGGUCGAAGAUUUAACACUGCUUCUGCUCCGCUGCAGCCCAUCUCUGCUUGAUCCAUAAUUUGCACUUAGCAAAGAAUGAUAAAAACUUAAAUAUGGAUCUUCAGUGCUGGCUAUAAAAGUGUGGAAUAUCGAGAAUUUGCAGGUGAAAUAUUGAGAGGCUAAAAGAGCGUUUUGGGCGUGGCGCUAGAAGAAAUGUUGAAUACAAUGCUUGGCAGGCUGCUGCGAGCAUUAUUGAUUUGAGUUCGAUUUCUUUGUUGUUAGCGCUGAGUACUUCUAUGUCUUUCCUGGACCCAUUUCGUGCUAGGGUUUUUCUCUACCAUCUGUAGAAGCAGGAGAGAGAGAGAGAGAGAGAG
Molecule: unclassified non-coding RNA, 1848 nt
Filed under: Hevea brasiliensis (rubber tree)
Lineage: Eukaryota; Viridiplantae; Streptophyta; Magnoliopsida; Malpighiales; Euphorbiaceae
Source: RNAcentral